This 459-nucleotide ribosomal RNA is filed under the name uncultured bacterium. Its description in RNAcentral is "bacterial SSU rRNA". It matches the Rfam family "Bacterial small subunit ribosomal RNA", at positions 29 to 533 of the family's 1533-position model. The record is from RNAcentral.
AACGAACGCUGGCGGCAUGCCUAACACAUGCAAGUCGAACGAGACCUUCGGGUCUAGUGGCGCACGGGUGCGUAACGCGUGGGAAUCUGCCCCUUGGUUCGGAAUAACUUCGGGAAACUGAAGCUAAUACCGGAUAAUGACGUAAGUCCAAAGAUUUAUCGCCAAGGGAUGAGCCCGCGUAGGAUUAGCUAGUUGGUGGGGUAAAGGCUCACCAAGGCGACGAUCCUUAGCUGGUCUGAGAGGAUGAUCAGCCACACUGGGACUGAGACACGGCCCAGACUCCUACGGGAGGCAGCAGUGGGGAAUAUUGGACAAUGGGCGAAAGCCUGAUCCAGCAAUGCCGCGUGAGUGAUGAAGGCCUUAGGGUUGUAAAGCUCUUUACCCGGGAAGAUAAUGACAGUACCGGGAGAAUAAGCUCCGGCUAACUCCGUGCCAGCAGCCGCGGUAAAGUGUGACUGU